RNAcentral lists this ribosomal RNA (740 nucleotides) under Azygia hwangtsiyui. RNAcentral's name for it is "12S ribosomal RNA". Lineage: Eukaryota; Metazoa; Platyhelminthes; Trematoda; Azygiida; Azygiidae. The record is from RNAcentral.
UUUAUUUAAUUCUGGUAAUGGGAGAGUGCUUUGCGUAUGUUCACAUAGAGAGUUUUUAGUCUGUUGAUGUGGUGUUUGCGUCAGUUUCUAGUGGUUGGUUCUCUUUUUAGGGGGUAACCCCUGUGGGGCGUUUGGGCGUGAAGGGGUGAAUUCUCAGUGCCAGCAACUGCGGUUAUUCUGUAAUCUUCUUUCUCCCGGUUGGUUUAAAGUAUUUUGUGGUAAGUUUCUGGGGGUAGGUAGAAAUUUCCCAGGUUUGAAAUGAUCCGCGAGAGUCGUUUUAUUUUCCAUUUUUAAAAUAGGAUUAGAUACCCUAGUAUAUGGAGGUGGAAUUUUAUCCAUGGUUUUAACUAAAAGGUUUUGGCAGCCGAAGAAGUUCUUCCAGGGGAACGUGUCUUAUAAAAGAUGGUCCGCUUAGUAGCUUUCCCCACUUAGUUUCGUUAGUGUAUAUCCGAUUAGUUAUUUGUGGUUUGUGCCAAUGUGUGUUUGUUUGCUGUUACAUAAGUCAGGUCAAUGUGCUGCUAAUAGUGGGGUUUUGGUGCGUUACAUUAUAAAGUUUUUCUUUGAAAUAUGAGAGGAUUUAGGACUUGGAAGUAGUUGGGGGGCAGGUUUCUCCGGCGAAUAUGACUUAUUUGGGGUACACAUCGCCCGUCACUCACAGUGCUUAGCUAUGAAAAGUCGUAACAUGGUAACAGCGGGGGAACCGGCUGUUAAUAGGCUAUUCGUGUUUAUUUCGGUAGGUU